UUCCCACACCUCCACCCAAACAGAGCCUAGAAGGACUGCUUCUACUCUACUUACUACGCAGCUCUUUGGUCUCAGCUUAUCUUCCUACCAAAUGUUAUAACAUGAUUCAGGUGUCGUUCGCAAAGUCCUUUUCACCUUCCAAUCAAAGGCUACGUUUCCCAAGCAAUAGAAACAGCUACUGGUUUUAUUUUUUGCCAAGAACCUGGGGAAUCGAUCGGUAAAAAAAUGCCUUAGAGAAGAAGACUCAGUUGAUGAGGAGAAGAGAUAUAAGUAAUAUAGCAAUAGUUGCUCGUGUUGAUCAUGGAAAGACAACUUUGGUUGAUGCUAUAUUUAGCAAUCCAAGGUAUUUCGUGAUAAUAUAUUUGUACAGGAGAGGAUAAUGGACUCAAAUGAUCUAGAGCUUGAAAGAGGGAUUACAAUACUCAGCAAAAUACAUCUAUGGCUUAUGAGCAUUCCAAAAUUAAUAUACUAGAUACUCACAGGACAUUGUGACUUUGAAGGUGAAGUGGAACGCAUCCUCAAUAUGGUGGAAGGGGUUCUUCUAGUGGUAGAUUCUGUUGAGGGACCAACACCUCAGACGAGGUUUGUUUGGAAGAAGGCUUUGGAGUUCGGCCAUGCUGUUGUUGUUGUUGUUGUCAAUAAGAUUGAUAAAUCUUCAGCUCAUCCAGAUUAUGUCAUCAAUUCCACCUUUGAACUAUUUACUGAACUAAUGCUACGGAUGAACAGGUAACAAAUAUUGAGUAUGAUGAACGCAAAGGACGAAUAGCCAUUGGACGCCUGCAUGCUGGAGUUCUACAGAAAGGAAUGGAUUGGUUCUCAACACCCCCAUUGGAUUAUAAUCUAGAUGAUUGCAUCGAGCAUAUUCAAAAAAGACGCGCUAGUGAAGGUCACUCCCAUGAGCAUCCGAAGCUUGCAAAGAAAACAAGAUGAACAUUUUAUAGGCUUAAUGCAUCAAGUGAAUCUGCCAGAAAACCAUCCUUGCAUAACUAAUCUCAAUGCAAUAGAAGCCUCAUACAUCUAAAUUUAAUGUCAUCUUAUUUUCCAUUCCAUGUAAGAUGAUCCUAUCUAGUCGAUUCCAUAUACUCCCUUGAGAUGUUCA
This is an RNA transcript of Hevea brasiliensis (rubber tree), 1099 nucleotides long. RefSeq lists it as uncharacterized. The transcript is spliced from 7 exons. The record is from RefSeq and is a predicted model, not a curated record. NCBI's taxonomy places the organism in Eukaryota, Viridiplantae, Streptophyta, Magnoliopsida, Malpighiales, Euphorbiaceae.